CCCAGACUCCUACGGGAGGCAGCAGUGGGGAAUAUUGGACAAUGGGGGGAACCCUGAUCCAGCGACGCCGCGUGAGUGAAGAAGUAUUUCGGUAUGUAAAGCUCUAUCAGCAGGGAAGAAAGAAAUGACGGUACCUGACUAAGAAGCCCCGGCUAACUACGUGCCAGCAGCCGCGGUAAUACGUAGGGGGCAAGCGUUAUCCGGAUUUACUGGGUGUAAGGGGAGCGUAGACGGCGAUGCAAGUCUGAAGUGAAAGGCGGGGGCCCAACCCCCGGACUGCUUUGGAAACUGUUUGACUGGAGUGCAGGAGAGGUAAGUGGAAUUCCUAGUGUAGCGGUGAAAUGCGUAGAUAUUAGGAGGAACACCAGUGGCGAAGGCGGCUUACUGGACUGUAACUGACGUUGAGGCCCGAAAGCGUGGGGAGCAAACAGGAUUAGAUACCCGUGUA
This 448-nucleotide ribosomal RNA is filed under the name uncultured bacterium. RNAcentral's name for it is "partial 16S ribosomal RNA". It matches the Rfam family "Bacterial small subunit ribosomal RNA", at positions 330 to 792 of the family's 1533-position model. The record is from RNAcentral.